Hyla sarda is the source of this 1629-nucleotide long non-coding RNA. RefSeq lists it as uncharacterized. Lineage: Eukaryota; Metazoa; Chordata; Amphibia; Anura; Hylidae. The transcript is spliced from 4 exons. The record is from RefSeq and is a predicted model, not a curated record.
UAUGCAUAACAACACUUUAUACAUUACUAAGACAUAACACUGGCAUAUUGUGUUGCCGGAGGCUUUCUGCCCAAUGCCUUCAACCUCUCCACUCCAACCUCGUCAGUCAAGCUGCUUUCUAGGCUGUGAAAUAUACCAAGGACCACGAGACUGGGCCCCCUCCAUGGGGUUGACAUGUGGGUUCCAUAAGACAAACGGGAUUCAGUGAUGGUCGGACAGUGACCACCACUUGUACAGCAGCAGUUUGCGCCACUGAUGGAAUGACAGUUGGUGCCUGUUGGGCCAGCCAAACCUCUGGGGCAACCAGAGUAGGCCUUCUGUAGAAGCCUGUGGACCCAGCCAAACAUCUGUGGCUGCUAAGAGUGGGCCUGAGUAUGCGCUGCAGCAGGUACCCGAUUGCAACCUCUGGAGCCAGGUGCAGCCACUCGGAUUUUCAACUCUGCUGUUCCCAGGGAACUUCCUCUUUUAGUCCCCUUGGCGACAGGCUCCAGUAAAAUGGCCGCCGGACGGAAGAACGUCAUCGGUGCAUCGCUGACUUCUGGUCCCCCGGCAACAAGAGGCUUCAACAAGAGGCUUCAAGAUCCUUCAAGUUCCACUUCGGACUGGACACAGCAACAUGAUCUCCACGCCCAGGGGCGUCCCGCACAGGACAUUUUUGCGUGCUUCCCGGGCUCCUCCUUAACCCUUUCAGGGUGAUGGACAGGAUGACAGAUUGAUCGUGUUCCGGCUCGUAUUAUAGAAUAUUUGGACAAAAUAAAACUUGAUAAGUCCUAACUGUAAUGUGGCUGAACUUUGUGCUCGUCUAUCAAUCACAAGUCUAUCUGGGUCAAAAUACCCAGCUCUCCCAUCUGCAUCCGAGCAAUUAAAACUUCUGGAAAGCCGCAGAUUUCACCGGUCCUGUCAUACGGAAUACCUGAUCCACUUUAUCAAGGUAGUAGAAUUGUCUCCUUUGAUUGAAACUUCCAGCAAAAUCCUGUUUCCCGCGACAUGAAAAGUGUCUGCACCCCACACCGAGAUCAUAUGCAAAGAAGACAAGAAGGUUCUCAUUUAUCUUUAAACGGACAAGUGCGACAAACUUCACUAAGACGCAACACAGAGAUUGUGUUUCUUGUUGUUAUUUUAUUAUAGUUUUUUUUUUCUCUUUUUUGCUUUUAUCAUUUUAUUUUUUAUUAAUUUUUUAUCUAGAAGGUUAAAUUCAUUAUAUAUAUAUUUUUAAGUCAUUCAAAUUUUUUUAAUUAUUGUUACCAUCCUCCUUUGUGAUGGCGUCUCUUCUCUAAACAAUCUUAGGGAUUGCGUUUCAAGGUUAAAUGAGCACAAUGUCAGAUCCAUAAACUUUUUAUAUGUUGUUACUGAUGAAAAUGUAAGACCUUUUGUAAUAUGGUUGUUUUAACCCCUAACGACCACAGACGUAAAUGUACGUCCUACUGGUGCUACUUCGUGCACCAGUAUGUUUAUUUACAUCCUGUAUAUGACUGUGAGCAUUAGAGCGAUGCUCGUGUCAUGCACGGCAGGUCCUGGCUGUGUCCUGGCUGCGAUCGCGCUGAUGUUCACCAUUAACCCCUCAGAUGCCAUGAUCAAUACAGAUCGCAGCAUCUGCAGCAAUGCGCAUGUUUAAAUGGAUGAUCGGAU